UAGAUAGUUGUGGGAGAGUGCAAGUUUACACGCCACCGAAGGAGCAAGUUCCAAAAAGACCCUUGGAACAAAUCUCUCAGGUAGAUGGAACCACAAUUGGACG
Molecule: regulatory RNA element, 103 nt
Rfam family: Glycine riboswitch aptamer
About the family: This family represents the bacterial glycine riboswitch.
Source: Rfam